UUUUUUUGUUUGAACAUUAAAAUCAUUAGAAAAUAUUAAAAAAAAAUAUCAAACACAUUUUCAAUUGAAACACAACGAAAUGCAUGUCCACUCGCAAUGACAAACAGGGUAUCCUCUCAUCAUCCCCAUACUGAAUCAUUGCAGCACCAAGUUAAUCACAGAUUCAAGCAUCCUCGUUAAUUAUUCCCAAGAUUGGCAAAGAGCACUUGCGAAAAAUUAUUUCUGAUAACUUCUUCCCUAGCAAUCCAUACAUAGAUUCAGCAACCACCUAAACUGACAUUUAACUACACCCCAAUGAAUCAACAACAAUCAUCAACAUACCCUAGUUUAGGGGUCUAGCAGACAGAACUGGUGCCAAUCCGUCGACACAAAUUCAAACAAGAAAAAGAACAGCAAGAGAUCAUCGUAAUAACACAGCAUUGAAGCCCAAUAAGCGAAACCAAAAUCCCAUUCCCAUCGAGUUUGAAAGUCUAACAAAAUCAUGAAAUUUAAAACGGAAAUAAUCUACUCAGUU
This is a long non-coding RNA of Populus euphratica (Euphrates poplar), 514 nucleotides long. RefSeq lists it as uncharacterized. The transcript is spliced from 2 exons. Lineage: Eukaryota; Viridiplantae; Streptophyta; Magnoliopsida; Malpighiales; Salicaceae. The record is from RefSeq and is a predicted model, not a curated record.